RNAcentral lists this long non-coding RNA (897 nucleotides) under Struthio camelus australis. RNAcentral describes it as "lncRNA (ENSSCUG00000011592.1)". The record is from RNAcentral. Lineage: Eukaryota; Metazoa; Chordata; Aves; Struthioniformes; Struthionidae.
GGCGCGGCGUUGGCCACGCUCGUGGAGUUCAUGGGCCAAGCCACAAGGCAGUGCGAGAAGUACUAUAGCUUGGUGCCAGCCUGUAGAUGCAAAGAGCAUGAAAUGAAGCACAUCUGCAGAUACCACGGCAGGCAAGCAGGUGAAAAAGUGAUGGAGGCUGCAGAAGAAAAGAAAAAUGCAGCCUCUGUAGCGUCCAGGCAACCUAAAACUUGCCAACAACAUACCAGGAAGGCUUCCAAAGACAUCUACAUUGAAGUUUCUCCUGGCACCUAUUCUGUCACAGCAACCUCAGAGGACAUGGUGAAACAAACCCAUGUGGUGGAUAUAAAGUCUAUGGCAUGUUCUUGAACACAGAGAGCAAAAUCCCUGCAGUAUGAAUGCAGAUGUGCAUGAGCUUCUGCAGACUGGCACAGCUGAGGAUCUGGCUCACAGUGUACCACAUCUCUCUGCUUCAAUUAUUCUCUUAAGGAAAGAAAAUGCCAAUGAAGUUCAUUAUCUAGGACCCCAACUCAAGAAGGUGCUUAAAUAUUUGUCAAAUGUUCAGCAUAGGCACAAACUAUUGCCAGGCAACCUACUCAAGACCAACCUCUAUGCAGGCUCUUGCCUAGACUAAACAUUAGUUAGUUGCCCUUUUUCAGUAGGAGGUGAGGUACCCACCUGAGUUGCCUCACCUUUCCUGCAGAGGGAAGUACUGCUGAGCAACUGCAUGCUGCAACUUAUUUCUGAGUUAAUAUGCUUUAAAAACAUGCACAGUCCCACUAAUGAGACUCACUGGAUGCUUAUGUCUGCUGAAGAAUCAGAUGCUACAGUUAGAAUAAGUCACAUGAUCUGUACAUCUAUACUCUUAGCUAAUGUUAACUUUGACAAGGAAAUAAAAUUCUGUGCCUUGAGUUCUCA